CAACCGGGGGAUUGCCUUAGUAACGGCGAGUGAAGCGGCAAAAGCUCAAAUUUGAAAUCUAGCACUUUCAGUGUUCGAGUUGUAAUUUGAAGAAGGUAACUUUGGAAUUGGCUCUUGUCUAUGUUCCUUGGAACAGGACGUCACAGAGGGUGAGAAUCCCGUGCGAUGAGAUGUCCAAUUCUAUGUAAAGUGCUUUCGAAGAGUCGAGUUGUUUGGGAAUGCAGCUCUAAGUGGGUGGUAAAUUCCAUCUAAAGCUAAAUAUUGGCGAGAGACCGAUAGCGAACAAGUACAGUGAUGGAAAGAUGAAAAGAACUUUGAAAAGAGAGUGAAAAAGUACGUGAAAUUGUUGAAAGGGAAGGGCUUGAGAUCAGACUUGGUAUUUUGUGUUCCUUAUCCUUCUUGGAUUAGGUUCCUCACAGCUUACCGGGCCAGCAUCGGUUUGGAUGGCAGGAUAAUGACAUUGGAAUGUAGCUUUGCUUCGGUGAAGUGUUAUAGACUUUGUUGAUACUGCCUAUCUAGACCGAGGACUGCGUCUUUUGACUAGGAUGCUGGCGUAAUGAUCUUAAUCCGCCCGUCUUGAAA
This 582-nucleotide ribosomal RNA is filed under the name Dujonia railenensis. RNAcentral describes it as "eukaryotic LSU rRNA". It matches the Rfam family "Eukaryotic large subunit ribosomal RNA", at positions 66 to 659 of the family's 3401-position model. The record is from RNAcentral. Lineage: Eukaryota; Fungi; Ascomycota; Pichiomycetes; Serinales; Debaryomycetaceae.